CAGUCGCCACGGUAAUACGUAGGGUGCAAGCGUUAAUCGGAAUUACUGGGCGUAAAGCGUGCGCAGGCGGUUUUGUAAGUCUGUCGUGAAAUCCCCGGGCUCAACCUGGGAAUGGCGAUGGAGACUGCAAGGCUAGAAUCUGGCAGAGGAGGGUAGAACUCCGCGUGUAGCAGUGAAAUGCGUAGAUAUGUGGAGGAACACCGAUGGCGAUGGCAGCCCCCUGGGCUAAGAUUGACGCUCAUGCACGAAAGCGUGGGGAGCAAACAGGAUUAGAUACCCCCGUAGUCCCUGUCUCUUAUAC
Molecule: ribosomal RNA, 301 nt
Filed under: uncultured bacterium
Lineage: Bacteria
Description: partial 16S ribosomal RNA
Rfam family: Bacterial small subunit ribosomal RNA
Source: RNAcentral